Molecule: ribosomal RNA, 165 nt
Filed under: uncultured bacterium
Lineage: Bacteria
Description: partial 16S rRNA
Rfam family: Bacterial small subunit ribosomal RNA
Source: RNAcentral
UAGGGAAUCUUCGGCAAUGGGGGCAACCCUGACCGAGCAACGCCGCGUGAGUGAAGAAGGUUUUCGGAUCGUAAAGCUCUGUUGUAAGAGAAGAACGUGUGUGAGAGUGGAAAGUUCACACAGUGACGGUAACUUGCCAGAAAGGGACGGCUAAAUACGUGCCAC